Molecule: long non-coding RNA, 304 nt
Filed under: Salvia miltiorrhiza (redroot sage)
Lineage: Eukaryota; Viridiplantae; Streptophyta; Magnoliopsida; Lamiales; Lamiaceae
Description: long non-coding RNA (SMIL_LNC003657)
Source: RNAcentral
UCUAAUUAAAGUUACCUAAAACAUGCUUAGAGAGGGAUGUUGGUGUCUUCUUUUUUAUUUUUUUUAUUUUUUUAGGGGUGGGGGUGGGGUGGGGGGGUCUUCACGACAUUUUUUGGUCUUUUUCCCAAACAUUAUUUUCCACUAGUUCUAUAAAAUCAUUGACCCCUUUUUCUUCGAAAUUUCUCUUGAUUCACAUAAAUUGAUUCGGUGUAAUGGGAUGGGAUGAAAUUUCACUAAAGAAACUGCGUAUUCCAUUACAUAUUGAGGGAAAAUUCCCUACUAAAAUGUCAUUUCAUCAAAAAGC